CAAAGUAUCAAAGUUAUACCAAAAUAAUCAAUAAAUUAAUACUAAGAAUAGGGUAAAAUAUAUAGUAUAAUAUCGACUUAUCAAAUACCCCCAAACUUAGCUUUUUGCUUGUCCUCAAGCAAAACAAAACUCAAAAACAAAGAUAAAAACUAGCAAACUAGCAAACUUUAUUAAAACUCAACUAAGACAAAAUUUCACCUUCAAGUUGCAGUCCAUAGAAAAACGUUAAAAAUUAGAACAUCUUUCCAAAAGUUUCAACUAAUCCCACCACAGAGUCUAAGCCAUUUAGAAUCAAUUAGAAAAGAAUUCAUUAACUUCCUUUGUUGUAAAGUGAACC
Molecule: long non-coding RNA, 337 nt
Filed under: Malus domestica (apple)
Lineage: Eukaryota; Viridiplantae; Streptophyta; Magnoliopsida; Rosales; Rosaceae
Description: long non-coding RNA (MDOM_LNC002756)
Source: RNAcentral